AGGGACACAAAUGGAGCUGGAAGUUGUUAUCCUUGGCAAACUGACUCAGGAACAGAAAACCAAACACCACAUGUUUUUACUUUUAAGUGGGAGCUGAACAGUUAGAACACAUGGACACUUG
This is a long non-coding RNA of Cebus imitator (Panamanian white-faced capuchin), 121 nucleotides long. RefSeq lists it as uncharacterized. The transcript is spliced from 3 exons. Lineage: Eukaryota; Metazoa; Chordata; Mammalia; Primates; Cebidae. The record is from RefSeq and is a predicted model, not a curated record.